RNAcentral lists this transfer RNA (77 nucleotides) under Klebsiella pneumoniae. RNAcentral describes it as "tRNA-Met". It matches the Rfam family "tRNA". Rfam says of the family: Transfer RNA (tRNA) molecules are approximately 80 nucleotides in length. Their secondary structure includes four short double-helical elements and three loops (D, anti-codon, and T loops). RNAcentral also lists the same sequence under 2 other names. The record is from RNAcentral. Lineage: Bacteria; Pseudomonadati; Pseudomonadota; Gammaproteobacteria; Enterobacterales; Enterobacteriaceae.
CGCGGGGUGAAGCAGCCUGGUAGCUCGUCGGGCUCAUAACCCGAAGGUCGUCGGUUCAAAUCCGGCCCCCGCAACCA